AGAGUUUGAUCCUGGCUCAAAGUGAACGCUGGCGGUAGGCCUAACACAUGCAAGUCGAACGGCAGCACAGUAAGAGCUUGCUCUUAUGGGUGGCGAGUGGCGGACGGGUGAGGAAUACAUCGGAAUCUACUUUUUCGUGGGGGAUAACGUAGGGAAACUUACGCUAAUACCGCAUACGACCUACGGGUGAAAGCAGGGGAUCUUCGGACCUUGCGCGAUUGAAUGAGCCGAUGUCGGAUUAGCUAGUUGGCGGGGUAAAGGCCCACCAAGGCGACGAUCCGUAGCUGGUCUGAGAGGAUGAUCAGCCACACUGGAACUGAGACACGGUCCACACUCCUACGGGAGGCAGCAGUGGGGAAUAUUGGACAAUGGGCGCAAGCCUGAUCCAGCCAUACCGCGUGGGUGAAGAAGGCCUUCGGGUUGUAAAGCCCUUUUGUUGGGAAAGAAAUCCAGCCGGCUAAUACCUGGUUGGGAUGACGGUACCCAAAGAAUAAGCACCGGCUAACUUCGUGCCAGCAGCCGCGGUAAUACGAAGGGUGCAAGCGUUACUCGGAAUUACUGGGCGUAAAGCGUGCGUAGGGUGGUUGUUUUAAGUCUGUUGUGAAAGCCCUGCGCUCAACCUGGGAACUGCAGUGGAAACUGGACAACUAGAGUGUGGUAGAGGGGUAGCGGAUCUCCCGGUGUAGCAGUGAAAUGCGUAAAGAUCGGGAAGGAACAUCCAUGGCGAAGGCAGCUACCUGCACCAACACUGACACUGACGCACGAAGCGUGGAGAGCAAACAGGAUUAGAUACCCCUGUACUCCACGCCCUAACGAUGCGAACUGGAUGGUGGGUGCUAUUUCGCCACGCAGUAUCGAGCUACGCGUUAGUCCGCCGCUAGAGAGUACGUCGCAGACUGAAACUCAAUGUAUGACGUGCUCGACAAGCGGUAGUAGCGAAGUAUCGUGAUCUUAAU
This 956-nucleotide ribosomal RNA is filed under the name uncultured bacterium. RNAcentral's name for it is "bacterial SSU rRNA". It matches the Rfam family "Bacterial small subunit ribosomal RNA", at positions 8 to 961 of the family's 1533-position model. The record is from RNAcentral.